UACGGAGGGGGCUAGCGUUGUUCGGAAUUACUGGGCGUAAAGCGCACGUAGGCGGCUUUGUAAGUUAGAGGCGAAAGCCCAGGGCUUAACCCUGGAAUUGCCUUUAAGACUGCAUCGCUCGAAUUGUGGAGAGGUGAGUGGAAUUCCGAGUGUAGAGGUGAAAUUCGUAGAUAUUCGGAAGAACACCAGUGGCGAAGGCGACUCACUGGACACAUAUUGACGCUGAGGUGCGAAAGCGUGGGGAGCAAACAGG
RNAcentral lists this ribosomal RNA (253 nucleotides) under uncultured bacterium. RNAcentral describes it as "partial 16S ribosomal RNA". It matches the Rfam family "Bacterial small subunit ribosomal RNA", at positions 524 to 776 of the family's 1533-position model. The record is from RNAcentral.